RNAcentral lists this ribosomal RNA (447 nucleotides) under uncultured bacterium. RNAcentral describes it as "partial 16S ribosomal RNA". It matches the Rfam family "Bacterial small subunit ribosomal RNA", at positions 29 to 523 of the family's 1533-position model. The record is from RNAcentral.
AGCGAACGCUGGCGGCAGGCUUAACACAUGCAAGUCGAACGCCCCGCAAGGGGAGUGGCAGACGGGUGAGUAACACGUGGGAACGUACCCUUUGGUUCGGAAUAACUUGGGGAAACUCAAGCUAAUACCGGAUAAGCCCUUAUGGGGAAAGGUUUACUGCCGAAGGAUCGGCCCGCGUCUGAUUAGCUAGUUGGUGAGGUAAUGGCUCACCAAGGCGACGAUCAGUAGCUGGUCUGAGAGGAUGAUCAGCCACACUGGGACUGAGACACGGUCCAGUCUCCUACGGGAGGCAGCGGUGGGGAAUAUUGGAGAAUGGGAUCAACCCUGAUCCAGCCACGCCGCGUGAGUUAUGCAUGCCUUAGGGUUGUACGGCUCUUUUACCCGGGGCGAUGAUGGCUGUACCGGGAGAAUAAGCCCCGGCUAACUUCGUGCAAGCCGCCGCCGUAA